Molecule: ribosomal RNA, 253 nt
Filed under: uncultured bacterium
Lineage: Bacteria
Description: partial 16S ribosomal RNA
Rfam family: Bacterial small subunit ribosomal RNA
Source: RNAcentral
CACGUAGGGCGCAAGCGUUGUCCGGAAUUAUUGGGCGUAAAGAGCUCGUAGGCGGUCUGUUACGUCUGCUGUGAAAACCCAGGGCUUAACCCUGGGCUUGCAGUGGAUACGGGCAGACUAGAGGCAGGUAGGGGAGAAUGGAAUUCCCGGUGUAGCGGUGAAAUGCGCAGAUAUCGGGAGGAACACCGGUGGCGAAGGCGGGAUCCUGGGCCAGUACUGACGCUGAGGAGCGAAAGCGUGGGGAGCAAACAGG